Long non-coding RNA from Triticum aestivum (bread wheat), 777 nucleotides. RefSeq lists it as uncharacterized. The record is from RefSeq and is a predicted model, not a curated record. The transcript is spliced from 2 exons. Lineage: Eukaryota; Viridiplantae; Streptophyta; Magnoliopsida; Poales; Poaceae.
UUGGUUCAGUCAAUCCCUUGCAUCUCGGCUAAUCCAUCUCGCGAGAGGGAGGCGCCUGAAGGCGACGACGCCGGCGCCGGCGCAAGUACCUGGGCGACGACGCCGGCGCGAGGUCAUGUCGGCGAAACCCCGACUGGGCUUGGUCGUAGUGGCCGCUCCCCGACGCCCCCGCGGAUGCCAGGGCGAGGUCCUGGGAGACGCCGGCGCCGCGCAUGGACCUGGGCGACGACACCGGCGCGAGGUCCUGGAGGCAAACCCCUGGCUGGGCAUGGUCGUAGUGGUCGACCAAUGGAGGAAGUGAUUGUGGACGUCCAUGAUGGAAGUUGCAGUGCAGGGACUUGUUUCAACGGCGGCAUUUUGAGGUCAUGUACAUAUGAAGAUAGGAAAUACCGUUGGUGAGGUGGAGCAGACGAGCGAGCGAGACCGCAGUUUCUUGUUCUUGCAGCAGAUGCAUUCUUAUUGGAUCAUUUCUUCUGACUAUAAUGAAUGCCUAAUCUUAUGGUUAUAUGAGCGGCAUUGUUUUGAUGAACUAGGCCAUGUGGUGUUCCACCCAUGUAGCUUGAUUGCAUUCUUCAAACGUGGCAAAAGUAAUGAGUUGCAUUUUUAUUUGUGGGUUUAUUUGUGUGCGUUGGGGGUUGUAUUGCUUACCUUGCGGUUUACAGAAAUUUAGACGGGCGCAUGGCCUUGUUAGGCGUUGUAUUGCUGGGGCUCCUGAAGAUUGAUAAAGCUGGAGCUGCUGGAUUGCACGUCUAUUCUUAUCAUUGCCUCGUUAUAUAA